CCGUAAGGUACGUCACAUGGUCAAGUUAACUUAAAACUACUUUCUAAUUCAGCGUGGACAAGCCUCCAUUAUGGAAUCCACUGAGAAGCACUUGAAGCCAAACACCUCUGUAAACGUCGACCACAUACUCAGAGAGAUGGAGACUCUGUCGAACAGCCUGCAUCAAAUGGCGGCGGAGACCCAGCGGUGGCAGUGUGAGCUGAUGGCUUGUGUUGACCACUCUGAGAAGCUGGCGCCGCCACACACCCCGCGGACCCCACAGAAACGCCCCCGAACCUGAACACGGCUGGCUGGCAAAGAUCUGCGGUACGUUUUGCAAAACUCCAUGUAAAAAUUAUCCCGAAACAAGUUCAUGGUUUUUCCUGCCACAAUCGUCUUAAUGUAUGUCCCGGCGUGGGUGCAGUGGACCCUAACUUUAGUGCCUCUGUGGGUUUGAUCAGUGUCGGCGGUGUGUGCAUGUAAUGGGCAGUCAUCUCGGCUGCCCUGGGGGAAAGUCUGCAGAACAGCAGCACAUAUAAAAAUGACAGGGACCUAAUGGUGCAGUGCAGCACCUCCCGGGGGUGUGACUGGAGAUGCUAUCCAGGAUGGAUUGCGAGUGGACUUGCAAACUUCUCUCUCUGUAUAAUUGCGCCGCCGUCCUCUUUCAUUCUUAUUUGGUCUCUGAUGUGCAAUCAGCAGUAAUUGGUUACUGAUCUAAUGUCCUGAAUUUAAACCCUCAAUUAGCCUUUUCAUAUGUCUCGCUUCCCUGUCUCUUCUUAUUAAACACACAACAGCCACACCACUGAGAGCAACCCACUCCGAAAUAAUAAUUCUGAUGAGCAUUUGUGAAGACAAUUAGACAACAAUCUCACCCUGCAGAAUAUCUGCGUCUCAACUGCUGAACCCUUUAAGUCUGAUGUCAAUAAAGUAGCCGAUUAUUAGUGUUUAAUUGUUGUUGUGGACGAUGAAAAUGCUGGUUGAUGUGUUCUUCAGGUUGCUGAAUUAUUUUGUUUUUAUCUAAACACCGCCAUCUUCUGGCCGUGUUUGAAAGUGUUCCAGUGCAGUUCUAUCAUCCAAUGCCUUGCGCUCACCAUAUAAGCGGGCAAAUAUAGUUUGUUUUACAUGUUUUAAGUUGUGCGUGAGCGAAGAAAAGUUCAAAUGAGUGGAGGGGCGACCUUUUUUCGCAUUUAGGUGGAUGUUUUGAUAGUUGCUUUUCGUUGCUUUAUCGAGGUCUAUGGCAGACCGAGCACCUACAUACCUGUAUGUUUGAUGUCACACUGAACCCUAGUGGAGAAUACUGUGUAUAGCAUACUUUUACUAAAGCAAAGACCUCCAUGCACGAGUUUAGAAACGUAUAUAUUAGUAUGAUGCAUUUCAAUUUGCCUUCUACGCUUUGUUUGUAAUGCAAUGAACAAGUUAUCACUCGUUUCAGUAACAAUGUUUUGUUCUAUAAACAUGUUAUAUCAAUUUAUCAAUCAAUUAAUUUUGAUGUGAAAUCUACCUAUUUCAAUUUUCCUGACAGUCACCCCGAAAUGGUAUUAGA
This is a long non-coding RNA of Synchiropus splendidus (mandarinfish), 1522 nucleotides long. RefSeq lists it as uncharacterized. The record is from RefSeq and is a predicted model, not a curated record. The transcript has 3 exons. Lineage: Eukaryota; Metazoa; Chordata; Actinopteri; Syngnathiformes; Callionymidae.